GGUGAUUCAUGAUAACUUAACGAAUCGCAUGGCCUUGCGCCGGCGAUGGUUCAUUCAAAUUUCUGCCCUAUCAACUUUCGAUGGUAGGAUAGUGGCCUACCAUGGUAUCAACGGGUAACGGGGAAUUAGGGUUCUAUUCCGGAGAGGGAGCCUGAGAAACGGCUACCACAUCCAAGGAAGGCAGCAGGCGCGCAAAUUACCCAAUCCCGACACGGGGAGGUAGUGACAAUAAAUACUGAUACAGGGCUCUUUUGGGUCUUGUAAUUGGAAUGAGUACAAUUUAAAUACCUUAACGAGGAACAAUUGGAGGGCAAGUCUGGUGCCAGCAGCCGCGGUAAUUCCAGCUCCAAUAGCGUAUAUUAAAGUUGUUGCAGUUAAAAAGCUCGUAGUUGAACCUUGGGCCUGGCUGGCCGGUCCGCCUCACCGCGUGUACUGGUCCGGCCGGGCCUUUCCUUCUGGGGAACCGCAUGCCCUUCACUGGGUGUGCUGGGGAACCAGGACUUUUACUUUGAAAAAAUUAGAGUGUUCAAAGCAGGCCUUUGCUCGAAUACAUUAGCAUGGAAUAAUAGAAUAGGACGUGCGGUCCUAUUUUGUUGGUUUCUAGGACCGCCGUAAUGAUUAAUAGGGAUAGUCGGGGGCGUCAGUAUUCAAUUGUCAGAGGUGAAAUUCUUGGAUUUAUUGAAGACUAACUACUGCGAAAGCAUUCGCCAAGGAUGUUUUCAUUAAUCAGUGAACGAAAGUUAGGGGAUCGAAGACGAUCAGAUACCGUCGUAGUCUUAACCGUAAACUAUGCCGACUAGGGAUCGGACGAUGUUAUUAUUUUGACUCGUUCGGCACCUUACGAGAAAUCAAAGUC
RNAcentral lists this ribosomal RNA (856 nucleotides) under Septorioides strobi. RNAcentral describes it as "SSU rRNA". It matches the Rfam family "Eukaryotic small subunit ribosomal RNA", at positions 245 to 1105 of the family's 1831-position model. Lineage: Eukaryota; Fungi; Ascomycota; Dothideomycetes; Botryosphaeriales; Septorioideaceae. The record is from RNAcentral.